RNAcentral lists this ribosomal RNA (468 nucleotides) under uncultured bacterium. RNAcentral's name for it is "partial 16S ribosomal RNA". It matches the Rfam family "Bacterial small subunit ribosomal RNA", at positions 28 to 507 of the family's 1533-position model. The record is from RNAcentral.
GACGAACGCUGGCGGCGUGCUUAACACAUGCAAGUCGAACGGAAAGGCCCUGCUUUUGUGGGGUGCUCGAGUGGCGAACGGGUGAGUAACACGUGAGUAACCUGCCCUUGACUUUGGGAUAACUUCAGGAAACUGGGGCUAAUACCGGAUAGGAGCUCCUGCUGCAUGGUGGGGGUUGGAAAGAUUCGGCGGUUGGGGAUGGACUCGCGGCUUAUCAGCUUGUUGGUGGGGUAGUGGCUUACCAAGGCUUUGACGGGUAGCCGGCCUGAGAGGGUGGACGGCCACAGUGGGACUGAGAUACGGCCCAGACUCCUACGGGAGGCAGCAGUGGGGAAUAUUGCACAAUGGGCGGAAGCCUGAUGCAGCAACGCCGCGUGCGGGAUGACGGCCUUCGGGUUGUAAACCGCUUUCGCCUGUGACGAAGCGUGAGUGACGGUAAUGGGUAAAGAAGCACCGGCUAACUACGUG